RNAcentral lists this long non-coding RNA (593 nucleotides) under Androctonus crassicauda. Lineage: Eukaryota; Metazoa; Arthropoda; Arachnida; Scorpiones; Buthidae. The record is from RNAcentral.
AGUGACAUCACAAGUGAGGUGGUUAUAGGUCUUUUGCACAAAAAAAUAUCAGAAUAAUUUCCUGUAUAAAAACUUUAAAAGUCAUUCUACAAUCAUAUUUCAUAAGUUUCUCCUUGAUAUAAUAGAAAAUCAUUGGAUAGAAAAACCAUUUGAUGAAAUAAAAAAAAAUCUAAGAACAGAUGGAUAUGAUGUUGUGUAUUAUGUCCCAUAGUGAACAAAAUACUGAACAAUGAACAAUGUAAUUAUCAACCACAUAGUCGCUAAUGGUUAUACCCCAUCUAUGGUAAUGAGACUCUACAGAAACAUACAGACUAUAAAUAAUGUACAAGUGCAAUCCAACACAACUAAACCAGCAAGAAUAUCAAUAGAAUAUGACUCCUCAUUACAUCAUAUAAAGUCAAAACUUAAAGAUGAAAUAAAUAUAAAACUUACUUACAUGAGGCAGAGAAAUGUAUAUGACAGACUGCGUAACGAUAAAACUAAAUAAUAGCAUGGUAUGUUUCCAGGAGUAUAGCUAAUCCUAAUGAAAGAUAACAACACAGGAAAUGAAGAAAUAUAUAUAUUGGAAGUACAAAAAGGAAUCAAAAGUCAAG